RNAcentral lists this ribosomal RNA (559 nucleotides) under uncultured bacterium. Its description in RNAcentral is "bacterial SSU rRNA". It matches the Rfam family "Bacterial small subunit ribosomal RNA", at positions 119 to 674 of the family's 1533-position model. The record is from RNAcentral.
CGGAACGUACCCAGUAGCGGGGGAUAACUACUCGAAAGAGUAGCUAAUACCGCAUACGCCCUUCGGGGGAAAGGGGGGGAUCUUCGGACCUCCCACUAUUGGAGCGGCUGAUAUCGGAUUAGCUAGUUGGUGAGGUAAAGGCUCACCAAGGCGACGAUCCGUAGCUGGUUUGAGAGGACGACCAGCCACACUGGAACUGAGACACGGUCCAGACUCCUACGGGAGGCAGCAGUGGGGAAUUUUGGACAAUGGGGGAAACCCUGAUCCAGCCAUUCCGCGUGUGUGAAGAAGGCCUUCGGGUUGUAAAGCACUUUUGGCGGGAAAGAAACGGCGUCGACUAAUACUCGGCGUAACUGACGGUACCCGCAGAAUAAGCACCGGCUAACUACGUGCCAGCAGCCGCGGUAAUACGUAGGGUGCAAGCGUUAAUCGGAAUUACUGGGCGUAAAGCGUGCGCAGGCGGUUCGGAAAGAAAGAUGUGAAAUCCCAGGGCUCAACCUUGGAACUGCAUUUUUAACUACCGGACUAGAGUAUGUCAGAGGGGGGUGGAAUUCCACGU